Molecule: ribosomal RNA, 374 nt
Filed under: uncultured organism
Description: partial 16S ribosomal RNA
Rfam family: Bacterial small subunit ribosomal RNA
Source: RNAcentral
GUAGGUGGCAAGCGUUGUCCGGAAUUAUUGGGCGUAAAGCGCGCGCAGGUGGUUCUUUAAGUCUGAUGUGAAAGCCCCCGGCUCAACCGGGGAGGGUCAUUGGAAACUGGGGAACUUGAGUGCAGGAGAGGAAAGUGGAAUUCCACGUGUAGCGGUGAAAUGCGUAGAUAUGUGGAGGAACACCAGUGGCGUAGGCGACUUUCUGGCCUGUAACUGACACUGAGGCGCGAAAGCGUGGGGAGCAAACAGGGAUUAGAUACCCUGGUAGUCCACGCCGUAAACGAUGAGUGCUAAGUGUUGGGGGGGUUUCCCGCCCCUCAGUGCUGCAGCUAACGCAUUAAGCACUCCGCCUGGGGAGUACGGUCGCAAGACUG